CCUACGGGAGGCUGCAGUAGGGAAUCUUCCACAAUGGACGAAAGUCUGAUGGAGCAACGCCGCGUGAGUGCAGAAGGGUUUCGGCUCGUACAGCUCUGUUGGUAGUGAAGAAAGAUAGAGGUAGUAACUGGCCUUUAUUUGACGGUACUUCCUUAGAAAGUCACGGCUAACUACGUGCCAGCAGCCGCGGUAAUACGUAGGUGGCAAGCGUUGUCCGGAUUUAUUGGGCGUAAAGCGAGUGCAGGCGGUUCAAUAAGUCUGAUGUGAAAUCCGUCGGCUCAACCGGAGAAUUGCAUCAGAAACUGGUGAACUUGAGUGCAGAAGAGGAGAGUGGAACUCCAUGUGGAGCGGUGGAAUGCGUAGAUAUAUGGAAGAACACCAGUGGCGAAGGCGGCUCUCUGGUCUGCAACUGACGCUGAGGCUCGAAAGCAUGGGUAGCGAACAGGAUUAGAUACCCUAGUAGUC
Molecule: ribosomal RNA, 465 nt
Filed under: uncultured bacterium
Lineage: Bacteria
Description: partial 16S ribosomal RNA
Rfam family: Bacterial small subunit ribosomal RNA
Source: RNAcentral